Molecule: ribosomal RNA, 2674 nt
Filed under: Campylobacter coli
Lineage: Bacteria; Pseudomonadati; Campylobacterota; Epsilonproteobacteria; Campylobacterales; Campylobacteraceae
Description: partial 23S ribosomal RNA
Rfam family: Bacterial large subunit ribosomal RNA
Source: RNAcentral
AGGUAAGCUACUAAGAGCGAAUGGUGGAUGCCUUGACUGGUAAAGGCGAUGAAGGACGUACUAGACUGCGAUAAGCUACGGGGAGCUGUCAAGAAGCUUUGAUCCGUAGAUUUCCGAAUGGGGCAACCCAAUGUAUAGAGAUAUACAUUACCUAUAUAGGAGCGAACGAGGGGAAUUGAAACAUCUUAGUACCCUCAGGAAAAGAAAUCAAUAGAGAUUGCGUCAGUAGCGGCGAGCGAAAGCGUAAGAGGGCAAACCCAGUGCUUGCACUGGGGGUUGUAGGACUGCAAUGUGCAAGAGGUGAGUUUAGCAGAACAUUCUGGAAAGUAUAGCCAUAGAGGGUGAUAGUCCCGUAUGCGAAAAACAAACCUUAGCUAGCAGUAUCCUGAGUAGGGCGGGACACGAGAAAUCCUGUCUGAAGCUGGGUCGACCACGAUCCAACCCUAAAUACUAAUACCAGAUCGAUAGUGCACAAGUACCGUGAGGGAAAGGUGAAAAGAACUGAGGUGAUCAGAGUGAAAUAGAACCUGAAACCAUUUGCUUACAAUCAUUCAGAGCACUAUGUAGCAAUACAGUGUGAUGGACUGCCUUUUGCAUAAUGAGCCUGCGAGUUGUGGUGUCUGGCAAGGUUAAGCAAACGCGAAGCCGUAGCGAAAGCGAGUCUGAAUAGGGCGCUUAGUCAGAUGCUGCAGACCCGAAACGAAGUGAUCUAUCCAUGAGCAAGUUGAAGCUAGUGUAAGAACUAGUGGAGGACUGAACCCAUAGGCGUUGAAAAGCCCCGGGAUGACUUGUGGAUAGGGGUGAAAGGCCAAUCAAACUUCGUGAUAGCUGGUUCUCUCCGAAAUAUAUUUAGGUAUAGCGUUGUGUCGUAAUAUAAGGGGGUAGAGCACUGAAUGGGCUAGGGCAUACACCAAUGUACCAAACCCUAUCAAACUCCGAAUACCUUAUAUGUAAUCACAGCAGUCAGGCGGCGAGUGAUAAAAUCCGUCGUCAAGAGGGAAACAACCCAGACUACCAGCUAAGGUCCCUAAAUCUUACUUAAGUGGAAAACGAUGUGAAGUUACUUAAACAACCAGGAGGUUGGCUUAGAAGCAGCCAUCCUUUAAAGAAAGCGUAAUAGCUCACUGGUCUAGUGAUUUUGCGCGGAAAAUAUAACGGGGCUAAAGUAAGUACCGAAGCUGUAGACUUGCGCACAACUUAGAUUAUUUAAGUUUAGAAUAUGAGAAACUAAGUUAUAUGUUUAGUUAUAUUUUUACUGAUUUUUAUAGAGUAAAGAUAGAAAUAAAACUUAGUAAAAUCAGUAAAAAUAUUCUUAGACUAAAGUUAAGUAGUUUAAGUUGUGUGCAAGUGGUAGGAGAGCGUUCUAUUUGCGUCGAAGGUAUACCGGUAAGGAGUGCUGGAGCGAAUAGAAGUGAGCAUGCAGGCAUGAGUAGCGAUAAUUAAUGUGAGAAUCAUUAACGCCGUAAACCCAAGGUUUCCUACGCGAUGCUCGUCAUCGUAGGGUUAGUCGGGUCCUAAGUCGAGUCCGAAAGGGGUAGACGAUGGCAAAUUGGUUAAUAUUCCAAUACCAACAUUAGUGUGCGAUGGAAGGACGCUUAGGGCUAAGGGGGCUAGCGGAUGGAAGUGCUAGUCUAAGGUCGUAGGAGGUUAUACAGGCAAAUCCGUAUAACAAUACUCCGAGAACUGAAAGGCUUUUUGAAGUCUUCGGAUGGAUAGAAGAACCCCUGAUGCCAUCGAGCCAAGAAAAGUUUCUAAGUUUAGCUAAUGUUGCCCGUACCGUAAACCGACACAGGUGGGUGGGAUGAGUAUUCUAAGGCGCGUGGAAGAACUCUCUUUAAGGAACUCUGCAAAAUAGCACCGUAUCUUCGGUAUAAGGUGUGGUUCGCUUCGUAUUAGGAUUUACUCCGAAAGCGAAGAAACUUACAACAAAGAGUCCCUCCCGACUGUUUACCAAAAACACAGCACUCUGCUAACUCGUAAGAGGAUGUAUAGGGUGUGACGCCUGCCCGGUGCUCGAAGGUUAAUUGAUGGGGUUAGCAUUAGCGAAGCUCUUGAUCGAAGCCCGAGUAAACGGCGGCCGUAACUAUAACGGUCCUAAGGUAGCGAAAUUCCUUGUCGGUUAAAUACCGACCUGCAUGAAUGGCGUAACGAGAUGGGAGCUGUCUCAAAGAGGGAUCCAGUGAAAUUGUAGUGGAGGUGAAAAUUCCUCCUACCCGCGGCAAGACGGAAAGACCCCGUGGACCUUUACUACAGCUUGACACUGCUAUUUGGAUAAGAAUGUGCAGGAUAGGUGGGAGGCUUUGAGUAUAUGACGCCAGUUGUAUAUGAGCCAUUGUUGAGAUACCACUCUUUCUUAUUUGGGUAGCUAACCAGCUUGAGUUAUCCUCAAGUGGGACAAUGUCUGGUGGGUAGUUUGACUGGGGCGGUCGCCUCCCAAAUAAUAACGGAGGCUUACAAAGGUUGGCUCAGAACGGUUGGAAAUCGUUCGUAGAGUAUAAAGGUAUAAGCCAGCUUAACUGCAAGACAUACAAGUCAAGCAGAGACGAAAGUCGGUCUUAGUGAUCCGGUGGUUCUGUGUGGAAGGGCCAUCGCUCAAAGGAUAAAAGGUACCCCGGGGAUAACAGGCUGAUCUCCCCCAAGAGCUCACAUCGACGGGGAGGUUUGGCACCUCGAU